Molecule: ribosomal RNA, 1158 nt
Filed under: Eriophora ravilla
Lineage: Eukaryota; Metazoa; Arthropoda; Arachnida; Araneae; Araneidae
Description: SSU rRNA
Rfam family: Eukaryotic small subunit ribosomal RNA
Source: RNAcentral
AAAAGCUCGUAGUUGGAUCUCAGCUCCGGCCGGACGGUCCGCCUACCGGUGGUUACUGUUCGUCGCCGAGCGUUCAGGCGGUUAUUCUUGAUGAUCUUCACCGGUUGUCUCGGGUGACCGCCAAGUUUACUUUGAAAAAAUUAGAGUGCUCAAAGCAGGCGCGACGCCUGAAUAAUUGUGCAUGGAAUAAUGGAAUAGGACCUCGGUUCUAUUUUGUUGGUUUUCGGAACGCGAGGUAAUGAUUAAGAGGGACAGACGGGGGCAUUCGUAUUGCGACGCUAGAGGUGAAAUUCUUGGACCGUCGCAAGACGAACUACUGCGAAAGCAUUUGCCAAGAAUGUUUCCAUUAAUCAAGAACGAAAGUUAGAGGUUCGAAGGCGAUCAGAUACCGCCCUAGUUCUAACCAUAAACGAUGUCAGCCAGCAAUCCGCCUGUGUUCCUCAAAUGACACGGCGGGCGGCUUCCGGGAAACCAAAGCUUUUGGGUUCCGGGGGAAGUAUGGUUGCAAAGCUGAAACUUAAAGGAAUUGACGGAAGGGCACCACCAGAAAUGGAGCCUGCGGCUUAAUUUGACUCAACACGGGGAAACUUACCCGGCCCGGACACAGGAAGGAUUGACAGAUUAAGAGCUCUUUCUUGAUUCUGUGGGUGGUGGUGCAUGGCCGUUCUUAGUUGGUGGGGCGACUUGUCUGGUUAAUUCCGAUAACGAACGAGACUCUAGCCUACUAAAUAGACGUUCCGAUCCUCUUUCGUCGGACGUUCUUCUUAGAGGGACAAGCGGCGUCUAGCCGCACGAGACAGAGCAAUAACAGGUCUGGGAUGCCCUUAGAUGUCCGGGGCCGCACGCGCGCUACAUUGAAGGAACCAGCGUGUGCUUUCCCUAUCCGUCAGGAUUGGGUAACCCGUUGAACCUCCUUCGUGCUUGGGAUUGGCAAUUGUAAUUUUUCCAUGAACGAGGAAUUCCCAGUAAGCGCGAGUCAUCAGCUCGUGUUGAUUACGUCCCUGCCCUUUGUCCACACCGCCCGUCGCUACUACCGAUUGAAUGAUUUAGUGAGGUCUUCAGACUGGCGCUCGGAUUGGCCUUCGCGGUCGAGCCGGUGUGCCGGAAAGAUGACCAAACUUGAUCAUUUAGAGGAAGUAAAAGUCGUAACAAGGUUUU